AGGUGUGAUCCUACCAGCACUAAUGCACCGGAUCCCAUCAGAACUCUACAGUCAAGCGUGCUUGGACGAGAGUAGUACUAGGAUGGGUGACCUCCUGGGAAGUCCUCAUGUUGCACCUC
RNAcentral lists this ribosomal RNA (119 nucleotides) under Lupinus angustifolius (narrow-leaved blue lupine). Lineage: Eukaryota; Viridiplantae; Streptophyta; Magnoliopsida; Fabales; Fabaceae. The record is from RNAcentral.